AGAGUUUGAUCAUGGCUCAGAUUGAACGCUGGCGGCAGGCCUAACACAUGCAAGUCGAACGGUAGCACAGAGAGCUUACUCUCGGGUGACGAGUGGCGGACGGGUGAGUAAUGUCUGGGAAACUGCCUGAUGGAGGGGGAUAACUACUGGAAACGGUAGCUAAUACCGCAUAACGUCGCAAGACCAAAGAGGGGGACCUUCGGGCCUCUUGCCAUCAGAUGUGCCCAGAUGGGAUUAGCUAGUAGGUGGGGUAACGGCUCACCUAGGCGACGAUCCCUAGCUGGUCUGAGAGGAUGACCAGCCACACUGGAACUGAGACACGGUCCAGACUCCUACGGGAGGCAGCAGUGGGGAAUAUUGCACAAUGGGCGCAAGCCUGAUGCAGCCAUGCCGCGUGUAUGAAGAAGGCCUUCGGGUUGUAAAGUACUUUCAGCGGGGAGGAAGGUGUUGCGGUUAAUAACCGCAGCAAUUGACGUUACCCGCAGAAGAAGCACCGGCUAACUCCGUGCCAGCAGCCGCGGUAAUACGGAGGGUGCAAGCGUUAAUCGGAAUUAUUGGGCGUAAAGCGCACGCAGGCGGUCUGUCAAGUCGGAUGUGAAAUCCCCGGGCUCAACCUGGGAACUGCAUUCGAAACUGGCAGGCUAGAGUCUUGUAGAGGGGGGUAGAAUUCCAGGUGUAGCGGUGAAAUGCGUAGAGAUCUGGAGGAAUACCGGUGGCGAAGGCGGCCCCCUGGACAAAGACUGACGCUCACGUGCGAAAGCGUGGGGAGCAAACAGGAUUAGAUACCCUGGUAGUCCACG
Molecule: ribosomal RNA, 800 nt
Filed under: uncultured bacterium
Lineage: Bacteria
Description: bacterial SSU rRNA
Rfam family: Bacterial small subunit ribosomal RNA
Source: RNAcentral